RNAcentral lists this ribosomal RNA (295 nucleotides) under Escherichia coli. RNAcentral describes it as "partial 16S ribosomal RNA". It matches the Rfam family "Bacterial small subunit ribosomal RNA", at positions 1 to 291 of the family's 1533-position model. Lineage: Bacteria; Pseudomonadati; Pseudomonadota; Gammaproteobacteria; Enterobacterales; Enterobacteriaceae. The record is from RNAcentral.
UUAAUUGAAGAGUUUGAUCAUGGCUCAGAUUGAACGCUGGCGGCAGGCCUAACACAUGCAAGUCGAACGGUAACAGGAAGCAGCUUGCUGCUUCUCUGACGAGUGGCGGACGGGUGAGUAAUGUCUGGGAAACUGCCUGAUGGAGGGGGAUAACUACUGGAAACGGUAGCUAAUACCGCAUAACGUCGCAAGACCAAAGAGGGGGACCUUCGGGCCUCUUGCCAUCGGAUGUGCCCAGAUGGGAUUAGCUUGUUGGUGGGGUAACGGCUCACCAAGGCGACGAUCCCUAGCUGGU